CUUCAAAUCUCAUCCUACUCUUUUCACUUCUCUUUCUUAUUUGUUAGCUCCUAACUGCAGGCCCAAUAAGCCCAACAAUGGGUGACCCAUCAGAGGUUCACUUUCAUUUGAUCAUUUAGUGCUUUCCUUCCUUUUACUUAUAUACUAUACAUGACUUUAUACAAGUCUCCAUUAAGGGGGUGCCAUUAAGAACCUUAAGUAUCUUUCUACAAGUUUCCCAUUUG
Molecule: unclassified non-coding RNA, 224 nt
Filed under: uncultured bacterium
Lineage: Bacteria
Description: contains 16S-23S intergenic spacer region
Source: RNAcentral